GCUUACCAUUAUAUUUAUCGCUAUUGUAGCCAUCAGCACCACAGUCUAACAGGACUAAAUCCCUUUUUCCAUUUAGCAGGUGCAAAACCAUUUCUACCUUGAAUAGGAUUCAAGAAGUCUGUGCUCCUUGGAUGUACCUGCUGCUGCCCUAUCAGCAGAUAGAGCUGGAGCCUUUGCGGAAUAUUCUGAAGCGACUUCCUCAGGCUUAGAAGAGCCAGAACGGUUUUCUUGCCCUGACAGUUCUGGGACCACAUACUGCCAAACCACUUUGUGGAGUUGAAGGCUGAUGAGUCUGGGUAUGUACAACAUGCUGGCUUUCUAUUCCACUCUCAAAUUCUGUGUGAUACAUCAAACCACCAUCAAAUGCACCCGCACCUAAGGACAUCAUGGAUUAUAAUCAUGCUGUGUGAUGAACAAACUUACUCCCGUCUCUCUGCUCAGGAUCCAUGAAGAGGUCAGCUUAAUGUCUGGGUCACGCAGUGCUUGGAAACAUGGGUAACCUUAACCCCAGCCUCUACCUCUCUGACACUGCUCCAGGGAGCUCGAACCCUCCUCACGGA
This 560-nucleotide long non-coding RNA is filed under the name Felis catus (domestic cat). Its description in RNAcentral is "lncRNA (ENSFCAG00000046645.2)". The record is from RNAcentral. Lineage: Eukaryota; Metazoa; Chordata; Mammalia; Carnivora; Felidae.